Phyllostomus discolor (pale spear-nosed bat) is the source of this 1250-nucleotide long non-coding RNA. RefSeq lists it as uncharacterized. The transcript is spliced from 5 exons. Lineage: Eukaryota; Metazoa; Chordata; Mammalia; Chiroptera; Phyllostomidae. The record is from RefSeq and is a predicted model, not a curated record.
CCUGCGCACUGAACCCACGCAAGGCAACCUGGGAUAUGUAGUUCGAUGAACGUGGGUGCAGUCCCUGAGAAUGGUAGGCCUGGGCUUCGUCCUGCCGCUCCACAAAACAGUGCCUAAUGGGAAGUUUCAUGGGGGUCAGUGACGCCGACGAGGCCAGUGGUGUUUGGGAGCAGAACUUGGAUUCCAGCCUAACAGGUGAGGCCUCGGUCCAAGGUCAGGUGAACAAGUAAACGGCCGGAAGUUCGCGCGGCUGCUUCUGGGAGUGGUAGUUUGAUACAUGUCUGUGCAGGCUCAGUCCCAGCCAGCGAACGUGGACUUUGUCCCACCGGUGGUUGAAAGGCUGCGCUUGGGAGGUUUCCAGUGGAACGGCAGCGCUACGGUCCAUGGGGGUCUGGCGGCAGACUUUGGAGUCCAGUUUAACGGUUUAGGCCGCUGCCGUGGGUGGGGUGAACGCGGAAUCCACAGGAAGCGCGCGCGCCUCUCUAUGGGUAAUGUAGUUCAGGCUGAAUAACGCUAAGAUCCGCAGCCUUUGUCCUGCGGUGUAACGGUAAGUGGGCCUGGUCCCAGGCGGAACCGCUGAGACAGACGGAAGUUGACGAAGUCUUCCCGGAUUCUGACCUUGCUACAGUGGUUCCAGAAUCCAGGUACGACCAAUCUGGAGUAACUAGGCGAGCACAAGGGGCAGUGGUCCCAGUCGCCCAACUGCGCAGGCGCAGUUCUGACCAGUUCGCUAAGGGGACUUGGUUAGGUCAACGAGAUACGUGGUGUACACGUCAGGGACUGUCGCGCAGGCAGAGGAUCCCGCCACCUCGCUGGAGCUUCAGGCGUGAACUGCCUGCAGAAAAAGCCGGCUGUUCCUGCAAGAGACCAGAGGAGGAGGGAAUGACUGCUGGGUUCCUGGAUGUGGGGUUGCUGGAGCAAGUGACCUUUGAGGACGUGGUCGUGGACUUUACUCAGGAGGAGUGGGGGCAGCUGACACCUGCCCAGAGGACCCUGUACCGUGAUGUGAUGCUGGAGACCUUUGGGCUCCUAGUCUCUGUGGCCACAUGGGUCCUGAAAGAGUGAAGGGAGAGUGGGCAGAGGUUUGGGUUAUGGUUCAUAAAUGCUCACUGCCUGGAUCUCACCCUGAGCAGGACAUUGGCUCCCGAAGCCCCUGCUCAUCUCCCUGCUGGAGCAGAAAGCAGAGCCAUGGCCUGUGGGUGAGGAGGUUCCACAAGGUGUGUGUCCAGAUUUAGAAACUAGAUCGAAAA